GUGAUUAUUAUUUAAUGUUAGAAAAAGAUAAGAGAAACCUGGAAAAUUCUCACCUAUUCUCAUCAAUUUCCUCUCCCUUUCUCUCGAACUACUAAGGACCAGCAAGAAGCUGGGAUUUUGUUCAGCUUGAUCUAGUGAAGUCUAGUUGAUUUGGUGUGCCCUAAUCCAAGGGCCCUGUAAAGCGUCGAGCUGUGCUUCCACUAAGGCUGACCGGCACACUUGAGCACAGAACGAGGUAAGGGAAAGGCAAAGCUGGAGGAACAGUGAGAUGGAGCUCGGCAGUGAUUGUACAUAUCGCGGCAGUGCAACCUGAAGGAUUUCGGUCUUUCAUCAUUUUGAAAUAAAGUUUAGUUGCCUGUUGUUUUUUUAAAAAAAUAUUAUAUGUACAUAUUAGUAAAAUACUUUUAAAUUGUAUUUUUGAUACUCGAGAUCCCGACCCAUAUAAGU
Molecule: long non-coding RNA, 447 nt
Organism: Cannabis sativa
Lineage: Eukaryota; Viridiplantae; Streptophyta; Magnoliopsida; Rosales; Cannabaceae
Exons: 3
Source: RefSeq, a predicted model, not a curated record